Molecule: non-coding RNA, 1192 nt
Organism: Nothobranchius furzeri (turquoise killifish)
Lineage: Eukaryota; Metazoa; Chordata; Actinopteri; Cyprinodontiformes; Nothobranchiidae
Source: RefSeq, a predicted model, not a curated record
UCGUGGGGUUACACCCAUUAGGACAGUGGGAGGGUUAAUUAUGAUGACGAUGCGUUGCUUUUUGAGAUUUUUUUUAGCUCACUUCAUGUCAGACAGUAUUUAUUCAAGAGAUUGAUUAUUUUCUACAGAUCUGAAGGUAUGUAGGUUUAGUUGUAGCAAUUAAAAUUGAUAUCACUAUUACAAAUAAUGUGGUUAAUCACGGUUAAUUAACCCAAAAUUGAGAUGUUGGGCUAUUUAAUUGGAGAAGUUUCAGAAAAAUCAACAAUUAAUCAAUUUCUUUUUGUUAAUUUUCAUCAGUUUUGUGUGAAGAUUUUCCAUCUCGCAGAGCUCAGAUGUCCUGUGGACACUCUGUGACUCCCACCUCUCUCACCAACUGGUGCCGCGGUCAGCUGGAAGACUGUCCUGACUGUAAGUCCCCUGUGGCGAGACACAGAGAGACAGAUCUGUGUGUCUCCUGCCAAGUCUGCACAGCAAAGAAAGGACGCCUCUAUGAAUUCUGCUGGCAGUGUCUGAGGCCCCAAGCCGCACUCAGACCACUGUAAUAAUGACAAAUGCUGUAACUCAGCUCUGGAAACUCUGAACUUCUGUCCAACCAUCAUGGUUGGGUCUGUGGUGUGUUCCUCUGUGAGGGCCUGUCCCGUCUGUGGCUCCCUGCUGAAACAUGACGGAAUAGGCUGCAGAAACACUACUUGUCCUAAAUGUAAGUUGAGGUUUAGGUACGUUUGUCUGGAAACCUCUGAUGAAUGUUACAAAACAAAUAGGAUUUAUAGCCUGUGGUCCAGUGGAGUCGCCCCCAGAGAGACCUCCAUACCUGUCUGGAACAGGAAGUAAGGCUUACUGUAGGGUCAGGUGUGCUAUCACAUCCAAACGACAAGUUGAAGGGAUUUUUCUGUUGUUUUUGCAAAAGUAUAAAAAAAACCCCACCAUCCAAUAGAUUCCUUUGUUUGGAGAAAUAGAGUUGACCUCCUUCAGGUUUGAGGUAAAGGCUUUUCUGGUUGUUUCCAUGAAUACAGUUUGAAAACCAAUCCAAUCCAUGUGAAUGUCAUUUAAUAAUCCUUACAUCUGCAUUUGUGUUUUUCGUCCGUAGAGUUUUUCCACUGAGACACUGAUCUCUAGAUGCCUAUGAAAUAAUGUACUUUUAAUUCUACACAUUAUAUCUAAACACAUUCUAAUAAACUAUUGACACAGUGAA